CCCCCCCGCUCGUUCGAAAGUUCCUCCUUGAUUUAUGAUAUUUUCAGUUAUUGUUUUCGUUAUAAUAAUUCGAAAAACAAAAUUCUCCUUAUUAAGAGUAUUUGAUUUUGUUUUAUAGGUGUAGCAAACAUUCAUAUAUCUAAACAGCCCUUGAAGGGGAUGACAUGGGAUGAUUUUCAUAUACAACUAUCAAAAACUGCUCUAUAAUAAAUAAAUAUUAAUUUCCUGUCAGUUGGUAGGGUUAAGUCUGCUUUGAAAAUGUGUGCUAAAAAAUAGAUGGAAAGAGUAUUUUUUUUGUUUAGAAUUAAAAAAUGAUGAAAGAAAGAAAAAAGUGUUACAAAAUUGUUACUUGGUGGAUGCAACGAUAUUUAAGUGCACUCAAAUCGUGUUAAAGUGUUUCUGUAACUCACCACUGCUACACAAGUUGGUCUCAU
Non-coding RNA from Biomphalaria pfeifferi, 434 nucleotides. The record is from the annotation of a GenBank genome assembly. Lineage: Eukaryota; Metazoa; Mollusca; Gastropoda; Planorbidae.